AAAGCACGCAGUGAGUGAGUGCCCAAAAUGGCUUUCUCUAGAGCCUCUCAGGUCUUACUGGUUCUCACUUUUGUAGCCAUCAUGCUUCUCUUCUCUUCCAACGUUGCUAUCGCUAGUAGUCUCCAUGUCCUCGGAAGGAGGAUGCUCCAAAACGGCAACGGCAAUGGUGGACAUACCUACCUUCCUGACCCUGGGGGAGACUAUCACCCUCCUAACCCAUAAACAGAACUUCUAGUAGAUGGAGAAAUCUGGUUUACAUACAAUAUCUACAUGUAUUUUAUCAGUUAUAUAUAUGAGAAAUUUCUGCUGAUUAUUGUGCAAUAAAAACCUUGUUAUUUUACACCCUUUAUGCUUUAUUUAUAUAGUGAAGUAUUGGUACAUGUGUUAAA
This is a long non-coding RNA of Nelumbo nucifera (sacred lotus), 389 nucleotides long. RefSeq lists it as uncharacterized. The record is from RefSeq and is a predicted model, not a curated record. Lineage: Eukaryota; Viridiplantae; Streptophyta; Magnoliopsida; Proteales; Nelumbonaceae.